This 497-nucleotide ribosomal RNA is filed under the name uncultured bacterium. Its description in RNAcentral is "partial 16S ribosomal RNA". It matches the Rfam family "Bacterial small subunit ribosomal RNA", at positions 28 to 507 of the family's 1533-position model. The record is from RNAcentral.
GAUGAACGCUGGCGGCGUGCCUAAUACAUGCAAGUCGAGCGAACGGACGAGAAGCUUGCUUCUCUGAUGUUAGCGGCGGACGGGUGAGUAACACGUGGAUAACCUACCUAUAAGACUGGGAUAACUUCGGGAAGCCGGAGCUAAUACCGGAUGAUAUUUUGAACCGCAUGGUUCAAUAGUGAAAGACGGUCUUGCUGUCACUUAUAGAUGGAUCCGCGCUGCAUUAGCUAGUUGGUAAGGUAACGGCUUACCAAGGCAACGAUGCAUAGCCGACCUGAGAGGGUGAUCGGCCACACUGGAACUGAGACGCGGUCCAGACUCCUACGGGAGGCAGCAGUAGGGAAUCUUCCGCAAUGGGCGAAAGCCUGACGGAGCAACGCCGCGUGAGUGAUGAAGGUCUUCGGAUCGUAAAACUCUGUUAUUAGGGAAGAACAUAUGUGUAAGUAACUGUGCACAUCUUGACGGUACCUAAUCAGAAAGCCACGGCUAACUACGUG